This 405-nucleotide ribosomal RNA is filed under the name uncultured bacterium. RNAcentral describes it as "partial 16S ribosomal RNA". It matches the Rfam family "Bacterial small subunit ribosomal RNA", at positions 28 to 526 of the family's 1533-position model. The record is from RNAcentral.
GACGAACGCUGGCGGCGUGCUUAACACAUGCAAGUCGAGCGGAGCGGCGAACGGGUGAGUAACGCGUGAGUAACUGCCCCCCUCUCUGGGAUAACAGUUGGAAACGGCUGCUAAUACCGGAUAGUGGGGGAUGACUCGCGUCCUAUCAGCUGGGUGGUGGGGUAGUGGCCUACCAAGGCGACGACGGGUAGACGGCCUGAGAGGGCGACAGGCCAAAGUGGGCUGGAAUACUGCCCAAACUCCUACGAGCGGCAGCAGUGGGGAAUAAUGCACCAUGAGGGAAACCCUGAUGCAGCACCGCCGCGUGCGGGAUAACGGCCGUCGGGUUGUACUCCGCUUUCAGCCAUGACGCGGUAGUGGCAGAAGAAGCAACGGCUAACUACGUGCCAGCAGCCGCGGUAAUAC